This 253-nucleotide ribosomal RNA is filed under the name uncultured bacterium. Its description in RNAcentral is "partial 16S ribosomal RNA". It matches the Rfam family "Bacterial small subunit ribosomal RNA", at positions 524 to 776 of the family's 1533-position model. The record is from RNAcentral.
UACGGAGGGCGCAAGCGUUACUCGGAAUCACUGGGCGUAAAGGGCGCGUAGGCGGCCUAGCAAGUCUGGUGUGAAAGCCCAGGGCUCAACCCUGGAAGGGCACUGGAAACUGUUAGGCUUGAGUUCCGGAGAGGAGGGGGGAAUUCCCGGUGUAGCGGUGAAAUGCGUAGAUAUCGGGAGGAAGACCGGUGGCGAAGGCGCCCCUCUGGGCGGAAACUGACGCUGAGGCGCGAAAGCGUGGGGAGCAAACAGG